Molecule: ribosomal RNA, 253 nt
Filed under: uncultured bacterium
Lineage: Bacteria
Description: partial 16S ribosomal RNA
Rfam family: Bacterial small subunit ribosomal RNA
Source: RNAcentral
UACGUAGGGGGCAAGCGUUGUCCGGAAUUAUUGGGCGUAAAGAGCGCGUAGGCGGUCCGGUAAGUCGGUUGUGAAAGUCGGGGGCUCAACCCUCGGAUGCCGAUCGAUACUGUCGGGCUAGAGUCCGGAAGAGGCGAGUGGAAUUCCUGGUGUAGCGGUGAAAUGCGCAGAUAUCUGGAGGAACACCGGUGGCGAAGGCGGCAUCCUGGACCGGCAUUGACGCUGAGGCGCGAAAGCCAGGGGAGCAAACGGG